UACAUGAGUGACAAGCGUUUUCCGUAAUAAUUGGGCGUAAAGGAUGCGUAGAUGGUAAAAGUAGUUAUGUUUACUAUAACAGUAUAUUGGGUUGUUAAUAUAAAACCUUUUACUUUGAGUUUUAACGGAGUUGAUGAUUUUUGUAAAUUAGUGAUAAAAUACUUAUAGUUUGCACGAAUUUCCGAAGGCGAAGGCACUUAACUAGUUAAAACUGACAUUGAGGCAUUAAAGCGUGGAUCACGAAUAGGAUUAGACACCCUAGUAGCCCACGCCCUAAACUAUGAGUAUUUAGUUUUUCGUAAACUUAAGUUAACGCGUAAAUACUCCGCCUGGGCAGUACAGUCGCAAGGUUGAAACUUAACAGAAUUGGCGGGAAUUUGUUCAAACGGUGGAACAUGUGGUUUAAUGCGAUAAUCCGCGCAAAAUCUUACCAAAGUAGUUGAUAUAUAGUAUUUUCAUUAACCGUGUUAUAAUAUUUUAUAUUGGCUAGGUAUUGGAUGGCUGUCGUCAGUUCGUGCUGUGAGGUGUAGAAUUAAGUUUUAUAACGAACGAAACCCCUAGAUUUAGUUUAAAUUAUUUCAUUGAAAACUGUUGUGUUUUGUGAUUUGAUUUUUCUAAUUUUUGAUCUUGUUACAUUAGUAAUGAGGAGGUGGUCAGGGCUGAAGUCAAGUCCUUAUGAUCCAUGUACUUUGGGCUACACACGUGUUACAUAGAUAAAAACAAAUAGUUGCGACAGAGUAAUCUUAAGCAAAUCUAUAAAAAUUAUCGUAGUACAGAUUGUUUUCUGAAACUCGAAAACAUGAAGUUGAAAUCGUUAGUAAUCGUAAAUUAGCACGUUACGGUGAAUGUUUAAUCAAAUUUUGCACACACCGCCCAUCACGCUCGAAGAGUUAAUGUUGUGUUGAAAGGUCCCACCACAUCGGACAUGUCCGAAUGACCACUUUAUACGAAUAAAUUUAUUAUAAAUAAAUGAUUCAGACACUAAAAUAUACGUUUUUAGUUAAGGUAGUCAGGCUAUUAGACCAACUUAGUUAUUUGAGUGAAGUUG
This 1048-nucleotide ribosomal RNA is filed under the name Ilsiella palustris. Its description in RNAcentral is "partial small subunit ribosomal RNA". It matches the Rfam family "Bacterial small subunit ribosomal RNA", at positions 524 to 1533 of the family's 1533-position model. The record is from RNAcentral. Lineage: Eukaryota; Ciliophora; Colpodea; Colpodida; Marynidae.